RNA transcript from Gopherus flavomarginatus (Mexican gopher tortoise), 4716 nucleotides. It is a transcript of the gene named hes related family bHLH transcription factor with YRPW motif like, with no coding region annotated. NCBI's taxonomy places the organism in Eukaryota, Metazoa, Chordata, Testudines, Testudinidae. The transcript has 6 exons. The record is from RefSeq and is a predicted model, not a curated record.
CAUAGACCCCCUUUCGCCCCCACGUGCGGAACAGCCUCCCCCCCAUACAGCCCCACGUGCGGGGAGGGUGCAGAGGAGGCUGCUUGCCCGCCGCUGUCUCGGAGGAUGAAGAGACUGAGCGAGGAGACCUGGGCGGGCUCCGAUUCGGACGGGACAAUAGACGUGGGCAAAGAGGAGCAAUACAGCCAAGUAUCUAGAGCUGUUUCUCCCACCACCACAUCUCAGAUACAAGCCAGGAAGAAGCGGAGAGGGAUCAUUGAGAAGCGGCGCCGUGACCGUAUUAACAGCAGCCUGUCUGAACUGAGGCGUUUAGUCCCUACUGCCUUUGAGAAGCAGGGCUCCUCCAAGCUGGAGAAGGCAGAGAUCCUGCAAAUGACAGUGGACCACUUAAAAAUGCUUCAUGCCACUGGAGGAACAGGGUUCUUAGAUGCCCGCGCCCUGGCUGUGGAUUACAGGAGUAUCGGCUUCCGUGAAUGCCUCACUGAAGUUGUCAGAUACCUUGGUAUCCUUGAGGGACAAAACGGUGCUGAUCCUAUCCGGCUACGACUCCUCUCCCACCUGAAUAAUUACGUUGCUGAAAUGGAGCCUUCGCCCAUAGCCACUUCCCUUCUGCCCUUUCAGAUGUGGCCCUGGUCAUUCCUCCACAAUUCCACAGCCCCCGCCAACCAAGUACUAAUACCCAGGAGGGAGGCUGUCCCGGGUCUAGCUGUCUUGACUGCUUCCCCCGUGGCUUAUCCAAGCACCACCAUGAGAAGAGCUCCCGUUCGCCGAAUUCCUAGUGCCAUCAUGCCAGCCCGCCGAAACUUCCUUUCCAAUAGGAUGGCCUCUUCGUCCCGGAGGGCUAGACCCACAGUGACAUCAACAAUCCCAGGUGCCAUGCCCAGUGUGCCAUCACCGGGUGGUGCCCUGAGAGAUGCCACCUCUAGAAGCAGCCAGAUUGCAACAUUCCUGCUCUCCUCCACCUCUGCUGGAGUUCCCGUACCACCUGCUUCUUACCCAGCUCCUCCUGCUUUGAAUGCUUCUCCCCAGGGGCCAGGCAACAGAAGUGGGACUUCCAGACUCUGCCGCUCCUGGGCUACUGAAAUUGGAGCUUUCUGAUCCCUCCCUGACAAAAUCCUAGCAGAGACAAACAUCAUCCGCAGCCACUGCUCAAAAAGCACGCUCUGAGGAGCAGCUUCUUUCCUGCUUUGCAGAAAUAAACAAUCGAUAAAGAAUCCUCUCCUCACCUUGCCCUCCCUUCUUAUUCCUCAUGUCAUCUUCCCUCUCUCUCCAUCACACUGUCUCCCUCUUUUCCAUUUCAGGUUUGCAGAUUUUGUAUUGAACUGAAUGUGUUUGUCUGUGUACAACUCCACUAAAGGUUGUAGGUGAGGUUUAUCCUAAUUCAGACCUUUCCCUUCCCCAGCCCAGGCCCUAGUAGAGCUGAAUGUUGCCGUUUGGAGAAUGUGAACCAGCCUUGGCACUGAUUUGACUUUGCUGGAGACACAGAGCUCGCAAGCAGUGACAUUUUCUAUCACUUGUAUGCAGUGUUGUUGUAGCCAUGUAGGUCCCAGGAUGUUAGCAAGUCAAGGUGUGGGAGGGAAUAUCUUUUAUUGGACCAACUUCUGCUAGUGACCAAGAAAGCUUUCCAGCUUAUGCAGAGCUUGUCUUCAGGCCAGCCCUGAAGAAGAAUUCUGUGUCAGCUUGAAAGCUUGUCUCUCUCACCUACAGAAGUUGGUCCAAGAAAACAUAUUCCCUCCCACACCUUGACUUUCCAACACUGACUUCCUCUCAGCUUGAGCAUGUUGUUUGACAUGGUCUAAGUGAGGUGAGACGUGCUGGCGAAUAAUAGAGACGACCCACCACACGCACACAAACUGUCCUUUGAUAACUGAACUCAACCCCCCUCAGGAUUGCUGUGAACAGUCAGGACAGUUGGGAGGUUUCUCUCCGUUGGCCAACCCCAUUCUCUUGAUCUCUGAAAAUGGAGAGCUUGACACUGUGUGUAACAGGCUCAUUCAAAACACAUAACCCUGAGGGACGAGACGAGUUGGAUGAAAAUGUAAUGGUUCACGAUCUCCCUCUGAACUGACACACUGAGAUACCCAGUACGCAUUUCUGCUGCAUAGAAUUAUCCCAGUACAGGACUUCCUCUACAUAAGACCCCAAUACUGUGUGCAGUCCACAUUUUCAUUUUCCGUGGCUCGGCCUUUACCUAAAACCAGGGCCUUCCCAAGUGUCACUAGUGUACUUGAUUCAUGGAAACAUUUGCCUGAUCCUGUGUUUAGAUCAAUGCUGUUAUCAGAAUGUUUUCAGGAGGAAUUAUCAGACAUUACUAUGCAAAAUUCCUUUGCCAGCUGCUGUUUGGGAUUCCCUAUGUAGAUAAUUCAGAUGUCUGUGAGAGAAAGAGACCUUUCUCAUCCAGUGAAGCAUUAUUAUAGAGUAAGGGAGCAGGUUUCCAAAGUGACACCUGUCAUGGAGGGGAGGGCUUGGCAGCUGAAAUACAAGGAGAAGGAUGCCCUUCCUUCUCUCUUCCCCUCUUCAGCCAUCAAUCCUCCCUCCCCAUAUGAAAAUCCAUUACCAUAAAGGGAGGAGGGGAAGAAAGCAUUCUUUACCCCAAGCUCCUUCUUUGUUUUUGCCAACGUCCAGAUCCUUAAUUAAAGCUUCUAGCCUGUUCCCCAGGCUCAGCUCUGCUCUUUAUCGCCAUGUUCUCUGCAUGGACUUCAUCCCAAACCCACUGAAGUCAAUGGCAGUCUUUCCACUGACUUCAUGGGCUUUUGAUCAGCCCCCAUAAUGUCCUCUGUCUCUUGAAAGCUUUCUCUGCCUUUGUCUCCCCUCUGUGUGUUCCUAUAUAAAUGCCAAGGAUGAUGAUUAUUCUUUGUCUUUUGCUCACUCCAUACCUCUGAGUCUCCUCUCAAUCCCUACAGUGAGGAACAGCUAUUUGGCAUUCUCAAACUCUGCUCCUGUCUCACCUCUUCUUCGCUCUUGUGGUUUUGAAACUGUGGCCUAGUGACUAGGGGAGUGAACUUCAACUCUUGAGUUCUAUUCCCAGCUCUGCUAUAUGACCUUUGGCAAGUCACUUCACUGUACCUCAGUUUCCCCAUCUGUAAAAUAGGAAGAGAUGAAAAGAUCUAUAUAAGAGCUAAGUAUUAUUAUUAGUCUGUUCCUGCUGCAAUCAGCUGAGAAGCAGCAGUAGUAAGAGAGUGCUCAGAAGUGGCCCGAAUGGGUGUAGGAAGUGCUGUUAUACAAAACAGAAGCAUAGGAAGGGCAGUUGGUGUGAGCUGGUGACCAGAGGGCCAUGGAGUCUAUGAGAAGCAGGACCUGUUUCCACAGAAGUGGUUGAGAGACUAGAACCAUUCCUCUCAACCAAAGACAUCUGGCUGUCCUAGCCACAGGCUGUCUACUGCCCCAGUGCACUUUUCUUGGCAUUAUUAUUUUCUAUAACACAUAAGGCAGUAUACCUCCACUCAAAUCAAAGCGAGACCCCUCUUCCCUGAAACGGUGCUUUUAUUUUCUUGGCUAUAUCAAGCUGGCAUUGGUCCAGUUGAAUACCUCUAAUUGCAUCCAUGUGACCCUUGCCUGAGUCAGCGGUGCCGUGCCAUGGAGGGGAAAGCACAGAAAGGAACAAAAGGGGAACAGAAGAAGCACUUCUGCUUUCAAUAUGAUCCAGGUCUGCCCCCUCAUGGUAAAGCCAAAGAGUUAAUGAGAAAUCCAGGCUCAGAGGAUACAAUAAGACGCAGGAGUCUACAGCUACCACUGAUGAAAUGUGACCUUCCAGCAUCCAACUGAAAACUCAUAUUAAAAAAAUAGCCUACCUCUUACCAUAGUGUGCAGUGCCAGCACAUAAUGAAUUACUUUUCAGAAUCAUGACAAAAAAGUGACCUUGGAAAACCACAGGGCAAAUGGCCUUGCACUGACCUGCCAUCGUUAGGAGCAUACUCAGAGAAUAAAGAAUAUUAAAAACUUCAUCAGAAACCUUUGCUCCAGCCACCUCAGAAGGCCUGAAGAGUGCAGAUAGAGAAAGCCCUUUGGGAUCCAGGCCCCACAGUCAGAGGGAGCCUGGAUGCAUCUGGAAUCAGUCAGAGCAGUAGGAUCCAUUUGACUCACUAACUUGUGGUCUAACCUUCAAGUAUAAGGAGACAGCAUGUGGGAGUCGUGACUCCAACUUCAUGGAAGGGGACACAAAGUUAUAAUGAAUAUGCAUCUAGAAUAAUCUUGAUCUACUCAAGCACGGGGAUCUGGAGGCUCAAACGGCUAAAGCAAAUGCUGCAUUCAGAAUGGUUUCCAAGGUACCAGCACCACCGCAGUGCCAGUUUUUGAGGGUGUCUGGGCCAUUAAAAACUGUAUUCUUUCAAGAAAGUUUAAUCAGGAGCACUAAACUCUGGGCUACAUUUUUCAAUUAGAAAUUGCAGGUUGACAGUGUUCUGAUCCAGAGCAGGCAGGUGGGCGGCGUACAAACCUCAGAGUGAACAUAACAGCAAGUGGAAAGGAAACAGAAACAAUAACAACACUGCGUCAGGCUUUGCUAUCCAUUCCCAGGUGUCACCAGAGUCCCAUGAUCUUGUGAGGCAUUGGGAGGACAUGAGCUCAGAAGCAGAAAACGCCAGAGGGCUGGAAAUAUUUACAAAAAAUAUUGUAAAACAAGAUACUUUGUUAUAUCCAUUGUUUCCUUUUAUUCUUCCCCUGUAAAUUAUUUACCAUAGUGGAAGGAUAGUUUACCAAUAAAUUGAAAUAAUCAUU